GCCCCUGUAGUGAAAUGGAUAUCACGCGACGCUUCGGACGUCGUAUUGUAGGUUCGAGUCCUGCCGGGGGCA
RNAcentral lists this transfer RNA (72 nucleotides) under bacterium. Its description in RNAcentral is "tRNA-Arg". It matches the Rfam family "tRNA". From Rfam's summary of the family: Transfer RNA (tRNA) molecules are approximately 80 nucleotides in length. Their secondary structure includes four short double-helical elements and three loops (D, anti-codon, and T loops). The record is from RNAcentral.